AGUGAACGCUGGCGGUAGGCCUAACACAUGCAAGUCGAACGGCAGCACAGUAAGAGCUUGCUCUUACGGGUGGCGAGUGGCGGACGGGUGAGGAAUACAUCGGAAUCUACUUUUUCGUGGGGGAUAACGUAGGGAAACUUACGCUAAUACCGCAUACGACCUACGGGUGAAAGCAGGGGAUCUUCGGACCUUGCGCGAUUGAAUGAGCCGAUGUCGGAUUAGCUAGUUGGCGGGGUAAAGGCCCAUCAAGGCGACGAUCCGUAGCUGAUCUGAGAGGAUGAUCAGCCACACUGGAACUGAGACACGGUCCAGACUCCUACGGGAGGCAGCAGUGGGGAAUAUUGGACAAAGGGCGCAAGCCUGAUCCAGCCAUACCGCGUGGGUGAAGAAGGCCUUCGGGUUGUAAAGCCCUUUUGUUGGGAAAGAAAAGCAGCAGGUUAAUACCCCGCUGUUCUGACGGUACCCAAAGAAUAAGCACCGGCUAACUUCGUG
Molecule: ribosomal RNA, 492 nt
Filed under: uncultured bacterium
Lineage: Bacteria
Description: partial 16S ribosomal RNA
Rfam family: Bacterial small subunit ribosomal RNA
Source: RNAcentral